UACGUAGGGGGCGAGCGUUGUCCGGAAUUACUGGGCGUAAGGCGCGCGCAGGCGGUCCUUUAAGUCUGAUGUGAAAGCCCCCGGCUCAACCGGGGAGGGUCAUUGGAAACUGGGAGACUUGAGUGCAGGAGAGGAAAGCGGAAUUCCUAGUGUAGCGGUGAAAUGCGUAGAGAUCUGGAGGAACACCAGUGGCGAAGGCGGCCUCCUGGACUGACACUGACGCUGAGGUGCGAAAGCGUGGGGAUCAAACAGG
This 253-nucleotide ribosomal RNA is filed under the name uncultured bacterium. RNAcentral's name for it is "partial 16S ribosomal RNA". It matches the Rfam family "Bacterial small subunit ribosomal RNA", at positions 524 to 776 of the family's 1533-position model. The record is from RNAcentral.